Molecule: ribosomal RNA, 400 nt
Filed under: uncultured bacterium
Lineage: Bacteria
Description: bacterial SSU rRNA
Rfam family: Bacterial small subunit ribosomal RNA
Source: RNAcentral
UAAGGAAUAUUGGUCAAUGGACGCAAGUCUGAACCAGCCAUGCCGCGUGCAGGAUGACGGCCCUACGGGUUGUAAACUGCUUUUGUACGGGAAAAAACCUCCGGUCGUGAAUCGGAGCUGAUGGUACCGUAAGAAUAAGCAUCGGCUAACUCCGUGCCAGCAGCCGCGGUAAUACGGAGGAUGCAAGCGUUAUCCGGAUUCAUUGGGUUUAAAGGGUGCGCAGGCGGAAUGAUAAGUCAGUGGUGAAAUCUCUCGGCUCAACUGAGAAACUGCCAUUGAUACUGUUGUUCUUGAGUACACUUGAAGUGGGCGGAAUGUGUCAUGUAGCGGUGAAAUGCUUAGAUAUGACACAGAACACCGAUCGCGAAGGCAGCUCACUAAAUUGUAACUGACGCUCAGG